GAUGAAGAACGCAGCGAAACGCGAUAGUUAAUGUGAAUUGCAGAAUUCAGUGAAUCAUCGAGUCUUUGAACGCACAUUGCGCCCGUCAGUAUUCUGGCGGGCAUGCCUGUUCGAGCGUCAUUACGCCCCUCAAGUCCCCUGUGGACUUGGUGUUGGGGAUCGGCGAGGCUGGUUUUCCAGCACAGCCGUCCCUUAAAUUAAUUGGCGGUCUCGCCGUGGCCCUCCUCUGCGCAGUAGUAAAACACUCGCAACAGGAGCCCGGCGCGGUCCACUGCCGUAAAACCCCCCAACUUUUUAUAGUUGACCUCGAAUCAGGUAGGACUACCCGCUGAACUUAAGCAUAUCAAUAAGCGGAGGA
RNAcentral lists this unclassified non-coding RNA (358 nucleotides) under soil metagenome. Its description in RNAcentral is "partial contains 5.8S ribosomal RNA, internal transcribed spacer 2, and large subunit ribosomal RNA". The stretch from base 1 to 120 matches the Rfam family "5.8S ribosomal RNA", at positions 35 to 154 of the family's 154-position model. The record is from RNAcentral.